UGAGUACGAGCUGCUACGGCAGCGAAGUGGGUGAUGUCAAGCUUCCAAGAAAAGCCCUAUACCCGUUAAGGCAUGAUGGCCUGUACCCGAAACCGACACAGGUGGGGUGGUAGAGAUACCGAGGGGCGCGAGAUAACUCUCUCUAAGGAACUCGGCAAAAUGGCCCCGUAACUUCGGGAGAAGGGGUGCCACCGCAAGGUGGCCGCAGUGAAGAGGCCCAGGCGACUGUUUACCAAAAACACAGGUCUCCGCUAAGUCGCAAGACGAUGUAUGGGGGCUGACGCCUGCCCAGUGCCGGAAGGUUAAGGAAGCUGGUCAGCGUAAGCGAAGCUAGCGACUGAAGCCCCGGUGAACGGCGGCCGUAACUAUAACGGUCCUAAGGUAGCGAAAUUCCUUGUCGGGUAAGUUCCGACCCGCACGAAAGGCGUAACGAUCUGGGCGCUGUCUCGGAGAGAGGCUCGGCGAAAUAGAAUUGUCUGUGAAGAUGCGGACUACGUGCACCCGGACAGAAAGACCCUAUGAAGCUUUACUGUAGCUUGGUAUUGUGCCCGGGCACUGAAUGCGCAGGAUAGGUGGGAGGCUUUGAUCCAUUGCUUGUGGGUGAUGGUGAGCCAACGGUGAGAUACCACUCUUUCAGAGCUAGGGUUCUAACGGUCACCCGUCAUCCGGGGACCGGACAGUAUCAGGUGGGCAGUUUGACUGGGGCGGUCGCCUCCUAAAAGGUAACGGAGGCGCGCAAAGGUUUGCUCAGGCUGGUUGGAAACCAGCCGACGAGUGUAAAAGCAGAAGCAAGCUUGACUGUGAGACCUACAAGUCGAACAGGGACGAAAGUCGGCUUUAGUGAUCCGACGGUUCUGAGUGGAAGGGCCGUCGCUCAACGGAUAAAAGUUACUCUAAGGAUAACAGGCUGAUCUCCCCCAAGAGUUCACAUCGACGGGGAGGUUUGGCACCUCGAUGUCGGCUCAUCGCAACCUGGGGCUGAAGUCGGUCCCAAGGGUUGGGCUGUUCGCCCAUUAAAGCGGUACGCGAGCUGGGUUCAGAACGUCGUGUGACAGUUCGGUCCAUAUCCGGUGCAUGCGCAGGAAUAUUGAGAGGAUUUCUCCCUAGUACGAGAGGACCGGGAGGAACGCACCUCUGGUGUGCCAGUUAUCGUGCCAACGGUAAACGCUGGGUAGCCAUGUGCGGAGAGGAUAACCGCUGAAAGCAUCUAAGUGGGAAGCCCACCUCAAGAUGAGUAUUCCCAUGGCGUUAGCCAGUAAGGUCACGGGCAGAACACCCGUUGAUAGGCUCUACGUGGAAGCCGGGUAACCGGUGAAGCGGAGGAGUACUAAUAGACCGAGGGCU
Molecule: ribosomal RNA, 1344 nt
Filed under: metagenome
Description: bacterial LSU rRNA
Rfam family: Bacterial large subunit ribosomal RNA
Source: RNAcentral